CUCUUUCUCUCCACUCCCACUCCCCUCCUCUCUUCAUCUCUCUUCUGGCCCCCCUCUCGUCUCUGUCUUCUCUCUCGGUCGUCGGAGAGAGAGGUGGGGGAGGAGAGGUCUACGAGAGGGACGGCGGCGGCGGAGGGGCGCGCGAGGCGGCCGGGCGGGGUCGGCGGCCCAUCGGUCGGGCCCGGUGGCUGCCGGGCGCGGCGGGGCUACCCGGCGCCGCCGCGCGCGCUGCCGCGGCCGGUGCGACGCGGGGGUACCGUGAACGAGGGCCUGCUCCAGGACCUCGUGCGGAAGAGGAAGGAGGGGCGGCGGCGGCUGGCGCCGCGGCGCCGCCGGCAGACGGUGCCGACCGAGCCCCGGCUCGCGGCGAGGGCCGCGGCGGAGCGGCAGCGGUUGACGAUGCGGCGGCGGGGCGCGCUGCGGCAGCUGGCGAAGGGGAGGCAGGCGCGGCGGCUCCAGUUCCCCUUCGGGGUGAAGCGCCUGAAGCCCGACCAGGGCGGGCGGACCCCGCGGCUCCGGCGCGGGACCCAGCGGCGGCGGCGGCUGCCGACCGGCGACGAGCUCCUCGAGUCGAAGUUCGCGUACCAGCAGUGCCUGCUCACGGACCUCUACUAGCGGAGGAGGAAGUUCUUGAAGGUCCAGGACGCGGAGCAGAGUACGCUCCCUAAGUCGUGGCGGCCGGAGCGGCGGUAAUGUCUUCCAACGUCUUUAAAUUCUCUUGAACUGGACGUUCUCUUGAUGUAACUCCUAACAAGGUCAGUAACCGAGUCAAUGAAAGGUCUUAGGAAAUGAACAGACCUUUGAGACUUGAAAAGUACGAAUCUUCCCCUCCAGUUAAAGUGACAUGAACUCGCCGAUCACUCGUCUACGGCGUUGGAGUUCUGAGACUUCGAGUUGUUACGAUAGGGAGAACUGUUCCAACGAUCGGAAGAAGCAUUCCGAGGCGUUGAUCAUCUUGAGCCUUGACCGUUUAAAAGGCGACUCAUAGUAAGUCUAGAGAAACGUUUCGAACUUCGCCGUAAACGUCCAACAUUUUCGGACUCUUCCGAGAGACCCCGAACCCUACGACAAGGUCUAAUGGACGGUCGUAAGAUGACACAUACACUUCCGGACUGUAGUGAAUUAGACUCAAUACGAUGACACGCUCCGGGGCUCGAUUAUUUUAAAUAAUCGUCUACGUUCUUAGACGUCGUUAAUACCCACUACCUGGAUUAACUCCUGGUACCAGAUCGACAACACCGUCCGAGAACGUCAUUUGACGUUCUCGACGCCCAGAAGGGCAGACUGGGAAAACCACGGCCCGUUCAAAAUAACUGACUUUCUCCGGAACAACUACAAAGACGGUCAACGGGGUACAACCUCAGUCAAGAGAUGAAGACGCCGGUCUACUGCUUACUCCGGGAGUAAUGUUAACGUUUCUUGGCAGGGUUGAAGUGAACGAAGGCCAAUACGUAGGAACUCGGGGCAUGAGGUCUAAUGCAGUGUGCCGUCAGAGAACUACGACCGAAGUCACGGUAACACCUUAGUACGUUCCCGGAAUCCGCGGAGAGACACAGACCGGAAGAGUGUCUAGAGCACAAGUUUAGUUAGCCACGUUUACCAUUAACAGAACUCUACGACAGUUAGCGGAAACGACCCUUGUCACUAGAACCGGACGUAAUAUAGGAGAGACCGACGUUCUCGGACUUCUUCGACCUUUAGUCCCUGACGGGUAAACCUUUAUUCGGCAACGACCGUUUACGACGGUUCGACCUCUGUUACGCUAGGGAAACCUACAGCAGCACGAGUAACUGGGACCCGCGUACGGCUGUCGAACGUCUCUUCUACGGGGCGGAAUGGCACCUCUAUUACUUGCUAGGACCUGCUUGUACGGGACACCUCAGUGAAGGCCUACUAUCGGGUCAGCUCUGUAACAUACACAUGGCCUGUUAACGGCCAGGUUCCAGACUGUGUGGUCUAAUGCAGGUCUAACAAAUUCCCAUGUCACCACAUAAGUAAAAGUUGGACCUAACCUAACCAUGGAAGUUGUGGAAGGAUCGUAUUGCAUCUUAAAAAGACAGUUCAUCUUUCCGACCACCAACCUACUUCUACAGCAUUUUAGAGUUGAGCCGUUCACAUCCUACUCUGACCUCCGGAAAAGUCCACAAUUAUUGACAUCCUCCGACCCACCUAAUGUCUUUGACGAUCUAUCGCAGUACUCUUUUGCAGCCAAACAAAAGAAAUCGCACAAAUCAAGAAAAUACAUAUUUCUAUACCGCGGUAAAAUUAGAACAUAACAUGACAUGAUGAUGACCUAUUUGACAUGGACCUCGACUCAAAAACAGUGGGGAUGAAAAAACCGGGGA
This 2345-nucleotide ribosomal RNA is filed under the name Triticum aestivum (bread wheat). Its description in RNAcentral is "partial small subunit ribosomal RNA". The record is from RNAcentral. Lineage: Eukaryota; Viridiplantae; Streptophyta; Magnoliopsida; Poales; Poaceae.